UUGAUUCAGAACAUUUCCCUUCAAGGUUACUUUGGCUUUGGGGAAGAGCCAGAAGUCACAUGGUGUCCUACAGGUGAAGAGGUGGAUGAGGACCCUGCCAUGAUUUUAGCAGCCUGCCUUUCCGCUGGGUGGUGCUUGGCUGCAGCACACACUGUAUAUUCGAUUGUCCCUUGCAGAGACUCUCAGGAAAGAGGGCUCCAGAACUGCACCAGACCGUGCUGAGAACAGUGGGAUGAGUGUGUGCAAAGCCAGGGGAGUAUUUCAGGGAGAUCAGUGACGGUGUCUUUUACUGUACUACGUUGUUUUAACGUAAACACUCACUGUACAUUUUGAUGGCCCUGUGUUUGUGCACCCUGAUAUGCCAGGGGUGAAGGAGGCUCAGAAGACAAAGCGUUACUGCAUUUUCUUUACAAGAGUGGCAGCGUUUGGUAACUGGGUUGACAGACAUGUAGUCAGCAGACUCAUGAUUUGUAAACGUGUUGUCAAAACUCUGACCCCCAUGAUUCUGAGAAAUGAGAAGGUGAGAACACCCAGGUCAUAAGGUCAGAAGGGAAGGCUAUUCAAAAUGAUGGUGCUAGCCAGGCGUAGCAGCACAGGCCUGCAUCCCAGCACUGUGGGAGGCAGAGGCAGGAGGAUCACAGGUUCGAGCCCAGCCCAGACUAGGAUUACAGCUCAGUUGGGAGGCGCUGGGGAUUGUCUGAUGCAGGCCGAUGCUCCUCGCCCUGGUUCUCGGUGCGAUUGUGCAUUGCUAACCAUGUUAAACCAUGAAGCUCUGAGCUCUUGUGUUGCAGUGUGGUUUGCCUAGCGUUCUUGCAUGCUAACUAGUAGAAGAUUAGCUGUUUGCAUGAGCCGGAAGCCGCUCCCGAUGAAGCAUGUGGGGGAGGCUGCGCCACCCCAGCUGAGUCCUCGCGUCCUGUCUGUGGCCUCAUUCACCAUGAUAUUAGGUUGAAAAAGCUCGUCAACGAACGGGAGUGCUUAUUGGAACAGAUCAGGAAACUUAAAGGGCAGCUGGAGGGAAG
Molecule: long non-coding RNA, 1019 nt
Organism: Fukomys damarensis (Damara mole-rat)
Lineage: Eukaryota; Metazoa; Chordata; Mammalia; Rodentia; Bathyergidae
Exons: 3
Source: RefSeq, a predicted model, not a curated record